Chenopodium quinoa (quinoa) is the source of this 3439-nucleotide long non-coding RNA. RefSeq lists it as uncharacterized. The record is from RefSeq and is a predicted model, not a curated record. The transcript has 3 exons. Lineage: Eukaryota; Viridiplantae; Streptophyta; Magnoliopsida; Caryophyllales; Amaranthaceae.
CAAGAUUCGGGCUGACGCCUGGCAUCUCUUCCACUUCUAAGGCAAAAAUGUCUUUGAAUUCUUUCAGCAGUUGGUGCAAAUCUGCGCCCAACUUGGCAAAAGCAACCGUCCCCACUUUAACGGUUCGUUCCGGACGGCUGUUAUUUAAAACAAUGUCAUUAUUUUCACCAGCCAGCUGGGGACGGAAAUCGUCUGACCGUUCCCCGAUCAAUGAUUGCUAUUGCUUCUCUUUUUUUACGGCCACCAAGUGGUCCGCCUUUCUCUUUUUGUCGGCUGCUUUGGGAGCAGGCGCGACUUCUGUUUCGGGGUUUUUGGAGUCCCUCGGGAGAGUUACAAUUCCAAGAAUGCGCGUCGACCGUCUGUACCUGCAAAAUCACAGAAACUACGGUUGGGUUGAGUUCCGCCUCCGACGAUCAAGUUAGAACGUUUCCGGAAGUAUAAAAGUGCGGAAUGUAAAGGGUUUUUCUCCCGGAUUCCGAGAGAAUUCUGUAAUUAAUAUUGCUCGGGUUUUUUGUGUGUAUUUAUGAAUGUGUAAUAAAUGAGGAUUUACCUCUAUUUAUAGUGGAAGGAGAUCAAUUCCCCUUUUAGGGUUAAAGUGCCACGUGUCAGUAGAGGAUUGGAUCCCCUAGGAUCUCUCUGAGGCUGACACGUGUCAGCAUGCUAUUGGACCACGCAGAUAGAGUAUUUUUACCCUAAACAUUUUCCCCUCACAAGUGUGACGUGGCUUGCCACGUGGCACAUAUGACAUGUGUCACGCUUUGAGAAGGAGACGUUUCGUCUCCUUCUCUCUCGUUUUUUUUUAUUUUUUAUUUUUGGAAUUUGAAGUGGGGAGGUGACGGUUCGCCAUCUGGGUUCUUCUUCUAUAAGUAGAAACCCCCCCCCCCCCUCAUUUUCAACACUUUACAUAUUUUCAAAAAACUUCCUACGAAAAGAGCUCUAAGACCGGCUGCUUUUAUUUGCAAAAACUUCCUCUUUCACUCAUCCGCCUUCCGUUUGAGUGCUCUUUGCCCAAUACAAACUUCAAACAGCCUGAGGACCCUUUGACCUUUCCCUAGCUUCCAAUACACCCACAGCCGGUCACAACCGUCUGGGGUAUCUUCCAGCAAAUUUCCAGAAAAACGCCUGGGUCUUUAGUAAAAUUCAGCUGCUCUUCAAGGGGGUACAUCCGGCCUACCGUCUGGGGUAUCAUCAAGCAACAAAAAGGAUUUCCGACUGAUGAUUCAAGGAGUCAACCGUCUUCAGAUUUUUUACAACUUCAAGGUACUGUCUCUACCCCUUGCAACGUUUUUGCGUUUUUCCGGUUGUAUAGCUUGUAAAGAAUAUGGACUCACCCAACUCACACACGGCACGGCCUAGGACAGUUGUCAGCCGGUCACCAGAUACGGUUGAGUCUAGGACUGGGGAUGCCGUAUGGGGGUGUUUGGACCACCCUUACUCUUUUGCAAACCCGACCGUCUCUGUUCAUGUGCAGGACAAAAUGGCUCGGACGAGACGGACGACUGUAGACCCCAAAUAUUAGUCAGACGGAUCAGCCGAAGCUCCGGCUGACUUUGUACCUUAUGACCAGCCGAGCGUACUUAGCACGCCCGGAGAUGAUAUCUUAGACGAUUCCGAGGACAUAGGCGGCGAAGAGACCGUCGAGCAAUUAGACUCCACAGAGUCUACUAUGGAACCGGAUGCACCCCAAGAGGAUGAGGAGACAUAUAAAUGGUCCUCUAUCAACAAUCCAACAGAGGCGCACAUGACCGCCUCGGAUGUGGUCACUCUAAAUGCCACCUUUCCCGUAUUUUUGAAAAAGCGCCCGGUUUGGGCAGGAUGGGAGAUUGUGGUACCGCCUGUAGAGGCAACCGUCGUCUGGGAUGACGACCUUGAUCAUGCCGAUGAUUAUUUCGGCUGCUAUGAGGCGGCUUUCAAAGCCGGCCUCCGGUUCCCCCUCCAAUAAAAGCCAUUCUAAGGGGUUACGACCUUGGCGUUUGACAGCUAGCACCUAACUCUUGGGUGAAUAUACUAGGAUAUAUAGCCGCCUGUGAGAUGCAGGACAUAAUGCCUAGCUGGGAGGCGUUUGCACAUAUGCACUACCUCUGCCGUGCCCCAGGCGGCUGGAAUGCGUGGUAUACAUUGACCAUGCAUCCGGAAUUCAUGAUGACGCUUGACCAGCCGUCAAAGUGGGGCAGCUGGAAGAGAAAGUUUUACAUGGUUUCUUCCUCAUCGCUGCAACUAAACCACCGGUUGCGUCGCUACAAUACACACCCGGCUCUCCUUGGAAAGAAGUGCGCCCUUCCUAGAGUGCCGGAAGAGGCUUGGACAGAAAUAAUGGAGACGGGUCUCUUCAUAAAGACCUCCUUGCCUUUGGAUGAUGGGACAGAAGUCAUUGUCCCCAAGAAGUGGGUCCCUUAUCCAAACUGGCUAAAGGACGAGGCGUUCCUUUCCGCCUGUGGCCUAAGCGCAAUGUGGAGCAGACGUAUGUUGAUUGUUAACCAGCACUUUAAGCCAUCUGUAUAAUACUUGAAUGGGUUUUGACUUUUUGAUUUUUAUUCCUUGCAGAGAAAGGAUUGGCUAAAUCUGCUGCAGAGAUCCGGAAGGAUCAAUUGGAGAAAAAGAGGGCCUAACUGGCGGCCAAAGAUGAUGGGAUAGGGAGCAAGAAUGAUCCUUGUUCUUUAAGACAGAUGCUGAUGAGACUGGGAGAGGAGCCCUCCCAGCCUACUUCCAAAUUGAGAAGGGUUCCGGCUGCCUCUACCUCUACCGGAAGGUCGCCUGUGCCUGAGAGGCCCACCUCAGCGGGGAAAAGCCCGAAAGACCUUACCCUUAGCUCAGGGCCGGCUGAGGUUGAAACGAGGUAGCCCGAAAUUCCCUCUAGUCGGGUGCUUGCUGUAGCGUCCGGCUCCAAUGCGGCUGGGGGUGGGAUGACCCCUCAGCUUGAAAAUCAAGAUGCCUUUUCUCGUUAGCCUGACCUCCAAAGUUAUUCCAAGAGGAUGCUGAGGACCCUCACCCGGUCCGAGAAGGAGGCGGUGCUGGGCGUGCACCAAGUCAACAUAGACCGCAUCAACUCACUGCUCGCUGAGAUAAUUGACCGGUUGGGGUGCUUUUGUGCCAGUUUAUUCUGUUGCAGGUUGUAGCGUAAUAGAAAGGUUGUCAGGCUUCUUGGACGGCUGUCCAUUGUUUGUUUUGGGGAUACCCUUGGACUUCAGCAUAUAGGACUUCAAAGCCCCCUCAUCCGCCAGAUGGUCCAAUAACUUCCUGAGGCUAUAGCAGCCAUUGGUGUCAUGGCCUAUGUCCUCAUGGAAAUGACAGUACUUGCUCUUGUCUCGGCUUUUGAUGGGACUUUUCAUAGCAGUCGGUUUUUCAAUGGUCAACCGGUCUUCGAUAUCCAUGAGGAUGGAGGAGCAGUCCUUGUUGAACUCGUACUUGGAGACGUAUGGCUUCAACUCUCUCUUUUUCU